AGAGUUUGAUCAUGGCUCAGGACGAACGCUGGCGGCGCGCUUAACACAUGCAAGUCGAGCGAGAACCAGGGCUUCGGCCCUGGGGAAAGCGGCGAACGGGUGAGUAACACGUGAGUCAUCCACCCUCGGCACCGGGAUAGCCCGGGGAAACCCGGAUUAAUACCGGAUGGCCCGUCUGCCCUUCGGGGCGGCCGGAAAAGGUAGCUUCGGCCUCCGGCUGAGGACGAGCUCGCGGCGGAUUAGCUUGUUGGCGGGGUAAAGGCCCACCAAGGCGACGAUCCGUAGCUGGUCUGAGAGGACGAUCAGCCACACUGGGACUGAGACACGGCCCAGACUCCUACGGGAGGCAGCAGUGGGGAAUCUUGCGCAAUGGGCGAAAGCCUGACGCAGCGACGCCGCGUGCGGGAAGAAGGCCUUCGGGUUGUAAACCGCUUUCAGGAGGGACGAAGCCAACUCGGGUUAAUAGCCCAGAGGGUGACGGUACCUCCAGAAGAAGCCCCGGCUAACUACGUGCCAGCAGCCGCGGUA
Molecule: ribosomal RNA, 528 nt
Filed under: uncultured Actinomycetes bacterium
Lineage: Bacteria; Bacillati; Actinomycetota; Actinomycetes
Description: bacterial SSU rRNA
Rfam family: Bacterial small subunit ribosomal RNA
Source: RNAcentral